UUUUUUUUUUUUUUUUUUUUUGGGAAAAUGUGACUGAUUUUUGCAAAGAGCGAGUUUUGAAAUGUUUACUCUGUGGUGGUUUGAAAUUUUUACAUCUUUCAACAAAGCGCGCGCGGAGAAGUGAAACCAUCUGAAAGGGCUUUUGAAAAGAGCGACUCAGCACAAGUUGGAGGAGGCUGCGGUUCCUUUAUCUUGGGCGAUCUGUGCCCAUCCUGCGGGAGGCGGGAGGGAGGACCAGCCCUUUCCCCACUUCGCUCCGUGCCUCCCUGCUCCGGGCUCCUAGGCAUGGCUUCAAAGCACUGUUGGCGGAGCGUCCCGGGAGGGAAUCGGGAAUCGGACACCUCCGCGCCGGGAAGCCGGGCGGCCGGCCGGCGCGGUCCUCUCCCCCAGCUCGGCUCUGCCUGAUGUGGUCAUCUUGGCCAGGGCCGUCGGGGCCACGGCUUAUCCAUCAUUGCAAAGAUCUCUCUGAGGCAUGGAGCGGAGGCAGCCCUGCCCAGAGGGGUUGGAAAAUGAGCGGCAUAUGGGGCCCUCAGUCCCAGGACCUUCUUGGCUUGGCUCCCGGGGAAGGGCGUGGGCUUCUUGGUCUGGAAACCGCCCAGGGAAGGCCUCUGGGGAGGCAAAGGCACACGGCUUCAGAAAAAUGGUACAUCUCUGUGGCUUUGGUGACCAGGUCUGCCUUUCCGGGCUCUUCGGAUUCCCCCAUUUUCCCCCAGCCCCGAGACCAACUUUGGGGAGAGGGGAAGCUCACACCUCAGAGAUCCAGACACCUGCCGCGGUGCUGGGGAGGGGAUGCUAGUGAAGGUGGGAAUGGUGUUUCUAAGCAGCCCUGGAAGGUGAGCAAAUUCCGGUACCUCUGUAUGGUCUCAGGAACCUGCAUCCUUGCUCCUCUGCAUUCCCUUCCUCCGAGUGACGAGGGGCUGUGAACUCUCCGACCUGCCCAGGUGGAAUUCUGAGAUCGUCAGAAGUCCCUCCUUUGAGCCUCAGUUCCAUGAGUAUCAAACUGCUGGGGAGACUUUGGGGGUGGGGGAAGCAACAAGUUUGAGCCAAGAACCCAUGAUUGAAAUUCUCCACCAAUAAAUUCCUCCCAGCUGAGCCCCAAGGGUCUGUAGUUGGUUCAGCAAGCUGGGGCGGCAGGAAGCGGGUGGGGGU
Bos taurus (domestic cattle) is the source of this 1149-nucleotide long non-coding RNA. NCBI's taxonomy places the organism in Eukaryota, Metazoa, Chordata, Mammalia, Artiodactyla, Bovidae. The record is from Ensembl.